RNAcentral lists this ribosomal RNA (245 nucleotides) under uncultured bacterium. Its description in RNAcentral is "partial 16S ribosomal RNA". It matches the Rfam family "Bacterial small subunit ribosomal RNA", at positions 524 to 768 of the family's 1533-position model. The record is from RNAcentral.
UACAGAGGCGGCGAGCGUUGUUCGGAUUUACUGGGCGUAAAGGGUGCGUAGGCGGUUGCGUGUGUCGGAUGUGAAAUCCCUCUGCCUAACGGAGGAAUGGCAUUCGAAACUACGAAACUUGAGUACUGGAGAGGAGAGUGGAAUUCUCGGUGUAGCGGUGAAAUGCGUAGAUAUCGAGAAGAACACCGGUGGCGAAGGCGGCUCUCUGGACAGAUACUGACGCUGAGGCACGAAAGCUGGGGGAG